CGGCAGCCUAACACAUGCAGUCGGACGGUAGCACAGAGAAGCUUGCUCUUCGGGUGACGAGUGGCGGACGGGUGAGUAAUGUCUGGGAAACUGCCUGAUGGAGGGGGAUAACUACUGGAAACGGUAGCUAAUACCGCAUAACCUCGCAAGAGCAAAGUGGGGGACCUUCGGGCCUCACGCCAUCGGAUGUGCCCAGAUGGGAUUAGCUAGUAGGUGGGGUAACGGCUCACCUAGGCGACGAUCCCUAGCUGGUCUGAGAGGAUGACCAGCCACACUGGAACUGAGACACGGUCCAGACUCCUACGGGAGGCAGCAGUGGGGAAUAUUGCACAAUGGGCGCAAGCCUGAUGCAGCCAUGCCGCGUGUAUGAAGAAGGCCUUCGGGUUGUAAAGUACUUUCAUCGGGGAGGGAGGCGGUGAGGUUA
RNAcentral lists this ribosomal RNA (424 nucleotides) under bacterium 3AR27. RNAcentral describes it as "bacterial SSU rRNA". It matches the Rfam family "Bacterial small subunit ribosomal RNA", at positions 40 to 462 of the family's 1533-position model. The record is from RNAcentral.